GAGAGGAGAGGAGAGGAGAGGAGAGGAGAGGAGAGGAGAGGAGUAUUGUAUACGUAUCUUCACUGUCUAGGGCUGUACAUGAAACCAGGCCUGGCUCAGGGAGGCUGCAAAGUCUUAGCAACAGGUGAGGGUCAAAAGGCAGGGGCAGGAAAGAGGUGUGGUUUCCCACUGCUAUGACUGUGGAGUCAGCUCUGGGAGGCAAGUGUGAGGCAGGAAAGGGGACCAAGCUGGAAAGUGGGAGCAGGCAUAAGGAUGGGCCAACCCAAAGCAGGAAUGAAACCCGGGUGAGCACCAAGCAGGAGGGCCAUAAAUGGAAUGAGGUGAAAUGGGGAUGGCCAGCGCAAAGUCCAGAUUCUGGAUAUUCCUUCUAGAUGAGGCUCCUCUUUGGUGAAUCUGAAACAAACUUUCAAGAGUGCCAAGCUAGGCUACUUAAUCGCCAGAUUUUUUUCUGGAUGCUUUUGUGUGUAUUGCUUUGACUUACAAGUUGUUAAAAUCAUUUUUUAAAUCUGUGCUUUUAAAAGGAAGACCAGGGGCACCUGGGUGGCUCAGCGCCCCAAGCAUCCAACUCUUGAUUUUGGCACAGGUCAUGAUCUCACAGUUCAUGGGUUUGAGCCCCGCAUCAGUGGGGAGCCUACCUGAGAUUCUCACUCUCCUUCUCUCUCUGCCCCUCCCCUCCCUAAAAAUAAACAAAUAAUAAAUAAAUAAAUACAUACAUACAUAGAUUGAAGACCACCAUAAUAGACUUCUAUUACAUGCUGAGCCUACUUGGGAUUCUCACUCUCCUCUCUCUGCCCCUCCCCUCACUCUAAAUAAAUAAAUAAAUAAAUAGAUUGAAGACCACCAUAAUAGACUUCUAUUACAUGCUGAUAUAAUUAUUACAUUCACAAUUUGGGGAGGUAGCCUGUUCUGUUAUUAGAAUCAUCAGAAGCUUUUUAAAAUAUAUAUACUGAGCUGAAAAUUGCUUCCCACUUCUUUAACCCACCAGGGAAGUAGAUGCAAGGUUAGCCUUUCUUCACCAAUGCAGUUCUCCAAUAUUUUGAUAUUUCAAAUAUUUGAAAACUUCAUUAACUAUGUUACUAAUUGCCUCAACUUUUUGGCUCAUCAUGAGCUCACGGUCAACGUAAAGUUCCACAUUCUUAUGACAUCUGCCAAGCCAGGUCUCCCCAGUCCGCUGCUUACACAAUUGAUUUUUUUGAGCCUAGAUGCAAGAGUUUAUAUUUAUCCUUAUUAUUGCUCAACUCAGUCAAAAUAAUUUUGAAUCUUGAUUCUGCCAUCUGUCAUAUUAGCAGUUCUUCCAGCUCUGUGUCAUCUGAGACUUGCUAAGCCUGCCUCCUAUUCCAUCCAAGUCAUUGAUUAAAAUGUUGAACAGGACAGGGCUUCCCUCCAGGUUGAAAUUGAUCCAUUAAUCAAUAUUCUUAGGGCACGGAGUCUCAACAAGCCAUGCAUCCAAAUAACCCUACCACCUAUUCCUACCAUCCAUCCUAUUCUGUUUCAUGGGUACUUGUGGUAUUUUUCUGUCUGUCUUUCUGUCUGUCCUUCUGUUUGUUUGAAAAGGGACCCAAGAUGUCUGGGGUAUGUUACAGAAAGAGAAAUAAGAGGAGCUGAAGGGCAUACCGGUUAGGAUGCAUUUAGCAGCACAUAACAAAACCCCAACCCAAACUGAUUUAAGCACAAAAAAACAAAAAAAACCAAAAAAACUGGUGGGGAGGAGGGACUUAAUAGUACAGAUCACUGAGCAGCUUAGGAAUAGAUGUGGCUUCAGGCAAGUCUUUCUGGGCCUCAAAUAUGUGCUCAGGUCCCCGUUUCUCCCCAGUUCUUGGUUGUGCCUCCUUAAUACUGGCCCCAUUCUCGUUGUGCUUUCUUCUCAAAGCCCAGGCAGCCUGCCAAGAAUGUAUAGGACUACAGGCUUCCUUGCUCAUUACCAAGGGCAAAAAGAAUCUGUGGCCCCAAAUUCUCAAUAACAAUCAGGUGAACCCUGGCCAGGAUGCUAAGGUCACUGCCCAUUCUUGAACCAACUAUCAUGGCCAUGGGAAUGGGGGCAUGGAAGGGCUUCAGCCAGUUAAUCCCACCCCUAGAGUCCAUCACACCCAUGUCAUACGACAGAGAACUCGGGAGACACCUGCCAGAGGAAGUUCUGGUUGCCAUCCCAGGAAGGCAGCAAGGGCAAUAGUGAGAAAUCGCCCCUUGGUCUCAAACAAACCAGAACACAGGUCAAACUAAAGACAUUUAAGCAUCUAGAGAGUGGUCAACAGUGUGGGAGAUAGGGCAGUGUAUCGAAGAGGGAGCAGCAGCUCUAUGAGGUAGAAGUCAUGAUCCUUACCUUCAUGGAAUUUAAUCACCAACUGAAAAAAAAAAAAAGGAAAAAAAAUACCUCCCUUCCAAAUGAAACCC
Neofelis nebulosa (Clouded leopard) is the source of this 2391-nucleotide long non-coding RNA. RefSeq lists it as uncharacterized. The transcript has 2 exons. The record is from RefSeq and is a predicted model, not a curated record. Lineage: Eukaryota; Metazoa; Chordata; Mammalia; Carnivora; Felidae.